CGAAUGCUGACAUAAGUAACGAUAAAGCGGGUGAAAAGCCCGCUCGCCGGAAGACCAAGGGUUCCUGUCCAACGUUAAUCGGGGCAGGGUGAGUCGACCCCUAAGGCGAGGCCGAAAGGCGUAGUCGAUGGGAAACAGGUUAAUAUUCCUGUACUUGGUGUUACUGCGAAGGGGGGACGGAGAAGGCUAUGUUGGCCGGGCGACGGUUGUCCCGGUUUAAGCGUGUAGGCUGGUUUUCCAGGCAAAUCCGGAAAAUCAAGGCUGAGGCGUGAUGACGAGGCACUACGGUGCUGAAGCAACAAAUGCCCUGCUUCCAGGAAAAGCCUCUAAGCAUCAGGUAACAUCAAAUCGUACCCCAAACCGACACAGGUGGUCAGGUAGAGAAUACCAAGGCGCUUGAGAGAACUCGGGUGAAGGAACUAGGCAAAAUGGUGCCGUAACUUCGGGAGAAGGCACGCUGAUAUGUAGGUGAAGCGACUUGCUCGUGGAGCUGAAAUCAGUCGAAGAUACCAGCUGGCUGCAACUGUUUAUUAAAAACACAGCACUGUGCAAACACGAAAGUGGACGUAUACGGUGUGACGCCUGCCCGGUGCCGGAAGGUUAAUUGAUGGGGUCAGCGCAAGCGAAGCUCUUGAUCGAAGCCCCGGUAAACGGCGGCCGUAACUAUAACGGUCCUAAGGUAGCGAAAUUCCUUGUCGGGUAAGUUCCGACCUGCACGAAUGGCGUAAUGAUGGCCAGGCUGUCUCCACCCGAGACUCAGUGAAAUUGAACUCGCUGUGAAGAUGCAGUGUACCCGCGGCAAGACGGAAAGACCCCGUGAACCUUUACUAUAGCUUGACACUGAACAUUGAGCCUUGAUGUGUAGGAUAGGUGGGAGGCUUAGAAGUGUGGACGCCAGUCUGCAUGGAGCCGACCUUGAAAUACCACCCUUUAAUGUUUGAUGUUCUAACGUUGACCCGUGAUCCGGGUUGCGGACAGUGUCUGGUGGGUAGUUUGACUGGGGCGGUCUCCUCCUAAAGAGUAACGGAGGAGCACGAAGGUUGGCUAAUCCUGGUCGGACAUCAGGAGGUUAGUGCAAUGGCAUAAGCCAGCUUGACUGCGAGCGUGACGGCGCGAGCAGGUGCGAAAGCAGGUCAUAGUGAUCCGGUGGUUCUGAAUGGAAGGGCCAUCGCUCAACGGAUAAAAGGUACUCCGGGGAUAACAGGCUGAUACCGCCCAAGAGUUCAUAUCGACGGCGGUGUUUGGCACCUCGAUGUCGGCUCAUCACAUCCUGGGGCUGAAGUAGGUCCCAAGGGUAUGGCUGUUCGCCAUUUAAAGUGGUACGCGAGCUGGGUUUAGAACGUCGUGAGACAGUUCGGUCCCUAUCUGCCGUGGGCGCUGGAGAACUGAGGGGGGCUGCUCCUAGUACGAGAGGACCGGAGUGGACGCAUCACUGGUGUUCGGGUUGUCAUGCCAAUGGCACUGCCCGGUAGCUAAAUGCGGAAGAGAUAAGUGCUGAAAGCAUCUAAGCACGAAACUUGC
RNAcentral lists this ribosomal RNA (1521 nucleotides) under Escherichia coli. Its description in RNAcentral is "partial 23S ribosomal RNA". It matches the Rfam family "Bacterial large subunit ribosomal RNA", at positions 1291 to 2797 of the family's 2925-position model. Lineage: Bacteria; Pseudomonadati; Pseudomonadota; Gammaproteobacteria; Enterobacterales; Enterobacteriaceae. The record is from RNAcentral.